GCCCGAUCUGGCGUAGUCAGCCUACCUGAGACAUUCACUCGUAAUGAAUAGGUCGUCGGUUCGAUUCCGACAGGCGGCU
Molecule: transfer RNA, 79 nt
Filed under: Hamadaea sp.
Lineage: Bacteria; Bacillati; Actinomycetota; Actinomycetes; Micromonosporales; Micromonosporaceae
Description: tRNA-Ser
Source: RNAcentral